UUGGCCUUGCGCUGUUUGAGCGGCCGUCCGACUUGCAUGCUUUACACAUGCAAGUCGGACGGCAGCACAGAGAAGCUUGCUUCUUGGGUGGCGAGUGGCGAACGGGUGAGUAACAUAUCGGAACGUACCGAGCAGUGGGGGAUAACUAAUCGAAAGAUUAGCUAAUACCGCAUAUAUUCUGAGGAAGAAAGCAGGGGACCAUUUGGCCUUGCGCUGUUUGAGCGGCCGAUAUCUGAUUAGCUAGUUGGUGGGGUAAAGGCCUACCAAGGCGACGAUCAGUAGCGGGUCUGAGAGGAUGAUCCGCCACACUGGGACUGAGACACGGCCCAGACUCCUACGGGAGGCAGCAGUGGGGAAUUUUGGACAAUGGGCGCAAGCCUGAUCCAGCCAUGCCGCGUGUCUGAAGAAGGCCUUCGGGUUGUAAAGGACUUUUGUCAGGGAAGAAAAGGGCGGGGUUAAUACCCCUGUCUGAUGACGGUACCUGAAGAAUAAGCACCGGCUAACUACGUGCCAGCAGCCGCGGUAAUACGUAGGGUGCGAGCGUUAAUCGGAAUUACUGGGCGUAAAGCGAGCGCAGACGGUUACUUAAGCAGGAUGUGAAAUCCCCGGGCUCAACCUGGGAACUGCGUUCUGAACUGGGUGACUAGAGUGUGUCAGAGGGAGGUAGAAUUCCACGUGUAGCAGUGAAAUGCGUAGAGAUGUGGAGGAAUACCGAUGGCGAAGGCAGCCUCCUGGGAUAACACUGACGUUCAUGCCCGAAAGCGUGGGUAGCAAACAGGAUUAGAUACCCUGGUAGUCCACGCCCUAAACGAUGUCGAUUAGCUGUUGGGCAGCAUGACUGCUUAGUAGCGAAGCUAACGCGUGAAAUCGA
RNAcentral lists this ribosomal RNA (871 nucleotides) under viral metagenome. RNAcentral describes it as "bacterial SSU rRNA". It matches the Rfam family "Bacterial small subunit ribosomal RNA", at positions 1 to 868 of the family's 1533-position model. The record is from RNAcentral.